AAUGAACGCUGGCGGCGCGCCUAAUACAUGCAAGUCGAGCGAGAAGACGUAGCAAUACGUUUGUAAAGCGGCGAACGGGUGAGGAAUACAUGGGUAACCUACCCUCGAGUGGGGAAUAACUAGCCGAAAGGUUAGCUAAUACCGCGUACGCUCCUUGGACUUCGGUUCAGGGAGGAAAGCGAUACCGUGGGUAUCGCGCUCUUGGUUGGGCUCAUGUCCUAUCAGCUUGUUGGUGAGGAACGGCUCACCAAGGCUUCGACGGGUAGCUGGUCUGAGAGGACGAUCAGCCACACUGGCACUGCGACACGGGCCAGACUCCUAUGGGAGGCAGCAGUAAGGAAUAUGCGCAAUGGGCGAAAGCCUGACGCAGCGACGCCGCGU
RNAcentral lists this ribosomal RNA (381 nucleotides) under uncultured bacterium. Its description in RNAcentral is "bacterial SSU rRNA". It matches the Rfam family "Bacterial small subunit ribosomal RNA", at positions 29 to 402 of the family's 1533-position model. The record is from RNAcentral.